RNAcentral lists this unclassified non-coding RNA (203 nucleotides) under Hevea brasiliensis (rubber tree). Lineage: Eukaryota; Viridiplantae; Streptophyta; Magnoliopsida; Malpighiales; Euphorbiaceae. The record is from RNAcentral.
GAUACAUUGGUGACUGGAUCAACUUUCAGCAACGAUCAAAAAGAAACAGGCAAGUCAUUAGGCCACAAAGAGCAAUAGGUCGAUCAUUUUUGAUAGAUACUUGACAUAAAAGGGAUCGAUUUUCUUGGUGUUAAAGACGUUGAAACACAAACAAGAUUUCGUUCAGGCGCUCAUCCAUUUGUAUAUCCUGAGUAUCAUUUUUA